UGGGGAAUAUUGCACAAUUGGCGCAAGCCUGAUGCAGCCAUGCCGCGUGUAUGAAGAAGGCCUUCGGGUUGUAAAGUACUUUCAGCGGGGAGGAAGGCGAUAAGGUUAAUAACCUUGUCGAUUGACGUUACCCGCAGAAGAAGCACCGGCUAACUCCGUGCCAGCAGCCGCGGUAAUACGGAGGGUGCAAGCGUUAAUCGGAAUUACUGGGCGUAAAGCGCACGCAGGCGGUCUGUCAAGUCGGAUGUGAAAUCCCCGGGCUCAACCUGGGAACUGCAUUCGAAACUGGCAGGCUAGAGUCUUGUAGAGGGGGGUAGAAUUCCAGGUGUAGCGGUGAAAUGCGUAGAGAUCUGGAGGAAUACCGGUGGCGAAGGCGGCCCCCUGGACAAAGACUGACGCUCAGGUGCGAAAGCGUGGGGAGCAAACA
This 427-nucleotide ribosomal RNA is filed under the name uncultured bacterium. RNAcentral describes it as "partial 16S ribosomal RNA". It matches the Rfam family "Bacterial small subunit ribosomal RNA", at positions 355 to 774 of the family's 1533-position model. The record is from RNAcentral.